CUGGUGCCAAGCUGGUAGAAUCAUUAGUGUGUCAGACAUAUUGCUUUGUAAUAUUUGAUCUUGCUCUUUACGUUCUGAGUUCCAAUCCUGCCAAAUUCACCUUU
Octopus sinensis (East Asian common octopus) is the source of this 104-nucleotide long non-coding RNA. RefSeq lists it as uncharacterized. The transcript has 3 exons. NCBI's taxonomy places the organism in Eukaryota, Metazoa, Mollusca, Cephalopoda, Octopoda, Octopodidae. The record is from RefSeq and is a predicted model, not a curated record.